UACGGGGGGGGCAAGCGUUGUUCGGAAUUACUGGGCGUAAAGGGCUCGUAGGCGGCCAACUAAGUCAGACGUGAAAUCCCCGGGCUCAACCCGGGAACUGCGUCCGAAACUGGCAGGCUCGAAUUCGGGAGAGGGAUGCGGAAUUCCAGGUGUAGCGGUGAAAUGCGUAGAUAUCUGGAGGAACAUCGGUGGCGAAGGCGGCAUCCUGGACCGAUAUUGACGCUGAGGCGCGAAAGCCAGGGGAGCAAACGGG
This 253-nucleotide ribosomal RNA is filed under the name uncultured bacterium. RNAcentral describes it as "partial 16S ribosomal RNA". It matches the Rfam family "Bacterial small subunit ribosomal RNA", at positions 524 to 776 of the family's 1533-position model. The record is from RNAcentral.